RNAcentral lists this long non-coding RNA (303 nucleotides) under Monodelphis domestica (gray short-tailed opossum). RNAcentral's name for it is "lncRNA (ENSMODG00000033411.2)". The record is from RNAcentral. Lineage: Eukaryota; Metazoa; Chordata; Mammalia; Didelphimorphia; Didelphidae.
AGUUCUGGCUUGGGUGAUGGACUGGCACUUGAGGAUUUAAUGUUUGAUCUGGGACAAAGACAUUAUCUUCAUCCUGAAAGAUCAAUCUAGACAUUCUGACUUCUCUCUUGAUUAGAUGACUCCUCCCAGGACCUCCAUUUAAGUUCUUUCUCUGGAUUUGGAUAGCAUCUUUCUCAUAAGUUCCUCUGGAUUGUCCUGGAUCAUUGCAUUGCUGCUCUCCUGCUAUUUUUUUUGCCUGGAAUAUAAUAAUUAGUAUUGAUUCUAACUUGGGAGAUAAGGUUUUUUAGUUUUUAAAAAAUGGUA